GGCGGCGGCGGCAAACAGAGCUGCAGUGUAGAGGGCGCGGUGGGCCGCGGGCGGCGGCGACCGGCCGGUGGGUCCGCGGCAGGCUGUAGGCCAAGGGGGCUCAGGUCAUUACUAAAGUACGGGACAUCAGAAAGCGAGUUGAAGUCGGUAGGCUUGAGAGGAUUCGUAACUGGAAACUCAAAGCUCUCAAAGUUCUGUGCUGGAUCAGGCAAACUGGUAACACUAGAACUAUGACCUGGUUGAGGCCAGCACAGUGGAGGGACAUCAUAGUUGAGACAGCUAGAAGAGGAGUUGGAGUCAUUGUCGAGGCUAGGCAAGAACAGAGCUACCAAUGCCUCCAUGGACUCAUCCACAUGCUCAUAGGUGAAGCAGUGAUCAUCAGCUCCAAGCAACUGCGCCAUCAUGUCAGUUUCCAUUGAUGGCGCAGACGAAGUGUAGGAGCUCUCUGUUUCAGUAGAGUUGGAGGGCUCAAGGCAAGGAGAGGCACUAGCUUGGAGAAGUGCUGAUGGUACAAUGUCUGAAGCUCUGAAUGCUCCUGCCGUGUGCUUGCAGACGGUAUUUGUAGGGUGCAGCAGUGCAGGUGGCCCCCAUUUUUGACGAUAUAUUGCUUCACAAUCAGCACCAAAUUGUCUGGCUCUUGUAAGUUAUCUCCAGAGUCAACCCAGUUGGGACGGUGUUAAGUUGUUGCAGCCGAAUUCUUGAUCUUGAUACCGACAGGAUAAUAAAAGCCGCAUGCGCAAUUAUGUCGAGAUAGGCAAGCGAUGGUAUUGUUUAUCUUCCCGGCAAGAUUAGGAAGCUGAUAUUGUUUAUUUUGGGGAGGAGAUUGGCUUGGCCAUUUGAGCAAUUACUCGCAUUGUAGAUCGUGGGGAGUGGUGGUGAGCUGAAGGCAGGAGGGAUUAUGUGAAUUAAGUUCUUCUGGUUGUUGUAAAAGUUAAGACCAGUCAUCAAUGGCUGUGUGAUCAUGUCAUUCUGUGCUUCCCAUGAAGGUUGCAGAAACAAUUGUUCCCAUUUUCAGCAACUUGAAGAGCUGUCAGAUCCCAAAAAUGGGGAGAAAAACAGAUUCCAUAGCACAGAA
Long non-coding RNA from Panicum virgatum (switchgrass), 1075 nucleotides. RefSeq lists it as uncharacterized. Lineage: Eukaryota; Viridiplantae; Streptophyta; Magnoliopsida; Poales; Poaceae. The record is from RefSeq and is a predicted model, not a curated record. The transcript is spliced from 2 exons.